GACGAACGCUGGCGGCGUGCUUAAUACAUGCAAGUCAACUUGACUUUAGAUAGCAAUAUCGAAAAGUAGGGUGGCGCACGGGUGCGUAACGCGUAGGUAAUCUGCCCUGAGGUCUGACAUAACCCGUCGAAAGGCGGGCUAACAUCAGAUGAUAUAUAAUCACGACAUCGUGGAAAUAUCAAAUCUUCGGAGCCUUGGGAUGAGCCUGCGUCUGAUUAGGUAGUUGGCGGAGUAAUAGCCCACCAAGCCUACGAUCAGUAGCUGGUCUGAGAGGAUGAUCAGCCACACUGGAACUGAGACACGGUCCAGACUCCUACGGGAGGCAGCGGUAAGGAAUAUUGCUCAAUGGGGGAAACCCUGAAGCAGCAACGCCGCGUGAAGGAUGAAAUACUUUUGUAUGUAAACUUCUGUAAGAUGGGAAAAAUAUUCUCCUCGGGAGAAUUGAUUGUACCAUCAGAGUAAGCCCCGGCUAACUACGUGCCAGCAGCCGCGG
Molecule: ribosomal RNA, 493 nt
Filed under: uncultured bacterium
Lineage: Bacteria
Description: bacterial SSU rRNA
Rfam family: Bacterial small subunit ribosomal RNA
Source: RNAcentral